This 75-nucleotide transfer RNA is filed under the name Candidatus Magasanikiibacteriota bacterium. Its description in RNAcentral is "Candidatus Magasanikbacteria bacterium tRNA-Asp". It matches the Rfam family "tRNA". From Rfam's summary of the family: Transfer RNA (tRNA) molecules are approximately 80 nucleotides in length. Lineage: Bacteria; Candidatus Magasanikiibacteriota. The record is from RNAcentral.
GGGCCGGUAGCGUAGCCCGGUUAUCGCGCCUCCUUGUCACGGAGGAGAUCGCGGGUCCGAAUCCCGUCCGGCCCG